AGGUAGGGUGGCCGAGCAGGCGGCGAGCUGUAGCCUCGUAUACGGGCGUCAGCGUCCCUCUAUCAA
This 66-nucleotide transfer RNA is filed under the name Cyrtodactylus agusanensis (Mindanao bow-fingered gecko). RNAcentral's name for it is "tRNA-Tyr". Lineage: Eukaryota; Metazoa; Chordata; Lepidosauria; Squamata; Gekkonidae. The record is from RNAcentral.